RNAcentral lists this transfer RNA (63 nucleotides) under human gut metagenome. It matches the Rfam family "tRNA", at positions 5 to 66 of the family's 71-position model. Rfam says of the family: Transfer RNA (tRNA) molecules are approximately 80 nucleotides in length. Their secondary structure includes four short double-helical elements and three loops (D, anti-codon, and T loops). The record is from RNAcentral. RNAcentral also lists the same sequence under 1 other name.
CGAUAGCUCAGCGGUAGAGCAAUCGGCUGUUAACCGAUCGGUCGUAGGUUCGAAUCCUACUCG